RNAcentral lists this ribosomal RNA (465 nucleotides) under Vreelandella stevensii. Its description in RNAcentral is "partial 16S ribosomal RNA". It matches the Rfam family "Bacterial small subunit ribosomal RNA", at positions 338 to 795 of the family's 1533-position model. The record is from RNAcentral. Lineage: Bacteria; Pseudomonadati; Pseudomonadota; Gammaproteobacteria; Oceanospirillales; Halomonadaceae.
CCUACGGGUGGCAGCAGUGGGGAAUAUUGGACAAUGGGCGAAAGCCUGAUCCAGCCAUGCCGCGUGUGUGAAGAAGGCCUUCGGGUUGUAAAGCACUUUCAGUGGGGAAGAAAGCCUUGGGGUUAAUACCCUCGAGGAAGGACAUCACCCACAGAAGAAGCACCGGCUAACUCCGUGCCAGCAGCCGCGGUAAUACGGAGGGUGCGAGCGUUAAUCGGAAUUACUGGGCGUAAAGCGCGCGUAGGCGGUCUGAUAAGCCGGUUGUGAAAGCCCCGGGCUCAACCUGGGAACGGCAUCCGGAACUGUCAGGCUAGAGUGCAGGAGAGGAAGGUAGAAUUCCCGGUGUAGCGGUGAAAUGCGUAGAGAUCGGGAGGAAUACCAGUGGCGAAGGCGGUCUUCUGGACUGACACUGACGCUGAGGUGCGAAAGCGUGGGUAGCAAACAGGAUUAGAUACCCUAGUAGUC